GUGGGGUCCUGAGCAAUGCCUGGCACUGUGUCCCUGUCACUGUCACCCGCUCAGGGACAUCAGGGACAUCAAGGAGCCCUGGAGAUCAAUGGGAUCUGUGGAUCCUAAAGGGUUCCAUGGCCCCAAAACGUCCUGCAGACCCCAAAGAGUCCUGCAGACCCCAAAAUGUCCUGCAGACCCCAAAAUGUCCUAUGGACCCCAUUGGGUUCCAUGGCCCCAAUGGGCCCUGCAGACCCCAAAUCAUCCCACAGAUCCCAGAGCCCUGCAGACCCCAAUGGGUUCCAUGGCCCCAAAGUGUCCUAUGGACCCCAAUGGGUUCUACACACCCCAAUGGUCCAAUGGACCCCAAAAUAUUCUACAGACCCCAAAAUGUCCUGCAGACCCCAAUGGGUUCUGCAGGCCCCCAGCUCCUAUUGACCCCAAAAGCUUCCACGGACCCCAAAAGGAUUUUAUGCCUCCCCCAAAGGAUUUUAUGCCCCCCCACAAAGGAUUUUAUGGCCCCCCUCAAAGGGUUCUGGAGACCCCAAAAGGGUUUUAUGGACCCCAAAGGGUUUUAUGGACUCUAAAGGAUUUAAUGGACCCCAAAGGGUUCUGGAGACCCCAAAAGGGUUUUAUGGACUCUAAAGGGUUUUAUGGACACCAAAGGGUUCUGGAGACCCCAAAAGGAUUUUAUGGACCCCCCAAAGGGUUUUAUGGACUCCAAAGGGUUUUAUGGACCCCAGAGGGUUUUAUGGACCCCAAAAAGUUCUGGUGACCCCAAAGAUUUCGAUGGCCCCGAAGGAUUCUGCAGGUUCCUCACAGCUC
RNAcentral lists this long non-coding RNA (804 nucleotides) under Serinus canaria (Common canary). RNAcentral describes it as "lncRNA (ENSSCAG00000001417.1)". Lineage: Eukaryota; Metazoa; Chordata; Aves; Passeriformes; Fringillidae. The record is from RNAcentral.